This 391-nucleotide long non-coding RNA is filed under the name Populus tremula. RNAcentral describes it as "long non-coding RNA (PTRE_LNC000053)". Lineage: Eukaryota; Viridiplantae; Streptophyta; Magnoliopsida; Malpighiales; Salicaceae. The record is from RNAcentral.
CUAGUGUGACACGCUCCCUUUUCUCCUCGGCAAUACAAUGUUCCUCUUAAAGGGCUUAGUUCAAAGUAGCAGGCAAGGAGUUGACGGGGCAUCCUUUGAGCUAUAACAAUGGCCAGGUUAAAAGGGCUCUGCUAACAUCAGGCCAUUUUGCAGUGGUUAAAGUCAAAGAUAAGAUUGCGGCUUUCAGGAUCUUCCACGGCUCUCAUUUCCCUAAAUAAUCUCGGAUUAUAACCAUACCACAAACAAAGCAAGGAGGAAUUGGACUGCUUAAAUCGUGAAAAUGAUAAUAAUAAUAAUAAUAAUAAUCAUUCUAUCGCAGACAAGGAACAAAAUCUGGGACUGGUUUGGAAGGUUUUUGUCUAUGAAGUUUCCAAAUCCAGGGACUAGUUUG